Molecule: ribosomal RNA, 303 nt
Filed under: uncultured bacterium
Lineage: Bacteria
Description: partial 16S ribosomal RNA
Rfam family: Bacterial small subunit ribosomal RNA
Source: RNAcentral
AGCAGUCGCCGCGGUAAUACAGAGGGUGCGAGCGUUAAUCGGAUUUACUGGGCGUAAAGCGUGCGUAGGCGGCUUUUUAAGUCGGAUGUGAAAUCCCUGAGCUUAACUUAGGAAUUGCAUUCGAUACUGGGAAGCUAGAGUAUGGGAGAGGAUGGUAGAAUUCCAGGUGUAGCGGUGAAAUGCGUAGAGAUCUGGAGGAAUACCGAUGGCGAAGGCAGCCAUCAGGCCUAAUACUGACGCUGAGGUACGAAAGCAUGGGGAGCAAACAGGAUUAGAUACCCCCGUAGUCCCUGUCUCUUAUAC